UCAAUAAGCGGAGGAAAAGAAACUAACAAGGAUUCCCCUAGUAACGGCGAGUGAAGCGGGAAGAGCUCAAAUUUGUAAUCUGGCGGCCCCAGGUCGUCCGAGUUGUAGUCUGGAGAAGCGUUUUCCGUGCCGGACCGUGUACAAGUCCCUUGGAACGGGGCGUCGUAGAGGGUGAGAAUCCCGUCCAUGACACGGACCGCCGGUGCAUUGUGAUGCGCUCUCGAAGAGUCGAGUUGUUUGGGAAUGCAGCUCAAAACGGGUGGUAAAUUCCAUCUAAAGCUAAAUAUGGGCGAAAGACCGAUAGCGAACAAGUACCGUGAGGGAAAGAUGAAAAGCACUUUGGAAAGAGAGUUAAACAGUACGUGAAAUUGUUGAAAGGGAAACGCUCGACGUCAGUCGCGUCUUCCGAGACUCAGCCGGGCCCAGCCCGGUGCACUUCUCGGUACGACGGGCCAGCAUCGAUUUCGACCGUCGGAGAAGGGUGGAGGGAACGUGGCACCUUCGGGUGUGUUAUAGCCCUCCGUCGUAUGCGACGGUGGGGAUCGAGGACCGCAGCACGCCCUUAGCGGGGCCGGGGUUCGCCCACGUAACGUGCUUAGGAUGCUGGCGUAAUGGCUUUGA
RNAcentral lists this ribosomal RNA (621 nucleotides) under Gallacea scleroderma. Its description in RNAcentral is "eukaryotic LSU rRNA". It matches the Rfam family "Eukaryotic large subunit ribosomal RNA", at positions 43 to 643 of the family's 3401-position model. Lineage: Eukaryota; Fungi; Basidiomycota; Agaricomycetes; Hysterangiales; Gallaceaceae. The record is from RNAcentral.